CCGUUAUCGAAAGAUCGCUGGACUGUUUUUUCAUUUUUAGUCGCAUUGCGUUUUUAUGCCACAGGGACCCAUUUAUUACAAAUAAGUGAUUUUGGAGGAAUGCAUUAUUCUACUGUGUCUCGAAUAGUAAAACGUGUAUCCCGGGCAUUAGCUCGACAGUCUAUUAAAUUUCCACAAACCCAAGCAGAAAUAAGUCUAACAAAAAACGAAUUCUAUGACAUAGCAUCAUUCCCAAAUGUAGUGGGUGUCAUAGAUUGUACCCAUGUAAAGAUUGAAUCUCCAGGUGAUAGUGGUUAUGAAUUACAAACAUAUUUAUUGACCCCUCUCCUUGACUCUAUUCUACCAAAGGAACAGCUUUAUAAUGAGUCACACAUUCGAACAAGAGGAAUAAUAGAAAGACUUUUUGGAAUUUGGAAAAGAAGGUUUCCUGUUAUAGCAUAUGGCUGUAGGUUGAAACUUGCUACAACUUUAGAGGUUAUCAUAUCAACAGGAGUUCUUCACAAUAUCGCAAAAAGGAUGGGUGAAGGAGAACCCCCAUUACCAGAUAAUAUUGAGGUCCAUGAAUUUCAGCAGCUUAUUAGACACGGGAAUAUUCCAGAUGUGCCCCGCCUUAAUGGGCGAAGAAAUUUAAGAGGAAUUCAUGUCAGACAAACUUUAAUUGACAAUUACUUUGCCAAUUUAUAAUUAAAAUUUACGGUAAACUUU
RNAcentral lists this unclassified non-coding RNA (705 nucleotides) under Leptinotarsa decemlineata (Colorado potato beetle). RNAcentral describes it as "putative nuclease HARBI1, transcript variant X1". Lineage: Eukaryota; Metazoa; Arthropoda; Insecta; Coleoptera; Chrysomelidae. The record is from RNAcentral.